UACACUCCUGCGGGAGGCAGCAGUGGGGAAUUUUGGACAAUGGGCGAAAGCCUGAUCCAGCAAUGCCGCGUGUGUGAAGAAGGCCUUCGGGUUGUAAAGCACUUUUGUCCGGAAAGAAAUCCUUGGCUCUAAUACAGUCGGGGGAUGACGGUACCGGAAGAAUAAGCACCGGCUAACUACGUGCCAGCAGCCGCGGUAAUACGUAGGGUGCGAGCGUUAAUCGGAAUUACUGGGCGUAAAGCGUGCGCAGGCGGUUUGCUAAGACCGAUGUGAAAUCCCCGGGCUCAACCUGGGAACUGCAUUGGUGACUGGCAGGCUAGAGUAUGGCAGAGGGGGGUAGAAUUCCACGUGUAGCAGUGAAAUGCGUAGAGAUGUGGAGGAAUACCGAUGGCGAAGGCAGCCCCCUGGGCCAAUACUGACGCUCAUGCACGAAAGCGUGGGGAGCAAACAGGAUUAGAAACCCGAGUAGUCCCAUGAU
This 478-nucleotide ribosomal RNA is filed under the name uncultured organism. RNAcentral describes it as "partial 16S ribosomal RNA". It matches the Rfam family "Bacterial small subunit ribosomal RNA", at positions 332 to 801 of the family's 1533-position model. The record is from RNAcentral.